ACUCAAAGGAAUUGACGGGGACCCGCACAAGCGGUGGAUGAUGUGGUUUAAUUCGAUGCAACGCGAAAAACCUUACCCACCUUUGACAUGUACGGAAUUCGCCAGAGAUGGCUUAGUGCUCGAAAGAGAACCGUAACACAGGUGCUGCAUGGCUGUCGUCAGCUCGUGUCGUGAGAUGUUGGGUUAAGUCCCGCAACGAGCGCAACCCUUGUCAUUAGUUGCUACAUUCAGUUGGGCACUCUAAUGAGACUGCCGGUGACAAACCGGAGGAAGGUGGGGAUGACGUCAAGUCCUCAUGGCCCUUAUAGGUGGGGCUACACACGUCAUACAAUGGCUGGUACAAAGGGUUGCCAACCCGCGAGGGGGAGCUAAUCCCAUAAAACCAGUCGUAGUCCGGAUCGCAGUCUGCAACUCGACUGCGUGAAGUCGGAAUCGCUAGUAAUCGUGGAUCAGAAUGUCACGGUGAAUACGUUCCCGGGUCUUGUACACACCGCCCGUCACACCAUGGGAGCGGGUUCUGCCAGAAGUAGUUAGCCUAACCGCAAGGAGGGCGAUUACCACGGCAGGGUUCGUGACUGGGGUGAAGUCGUAACAAGGUAGCCGUAUCGGAAGGUGCGGCUGGAUCACCU
Molecule: ribosomal RNA, 629 nt
Filed under: uncultured bacterium
Lineage: Bacteria
Description: bacterial SSU rRNA
Rfam family: Bacterial small subunit ribosomal RNA
Source: RNAcentral